ACUAGACUGUUAUGUUAUUGUCUAGUAACCACAAAACACAAGGACAGUGUAAUAUUGUCUACAAGUCGCAAAUAGACGGAGAUUGCCCUCUGUUGAUCAGAGUCGAAGAAGAAAAGUUGUGUGUAUCUUACUAUAACAACAUCAUGAUAGCUGAUACGUCACUUCAACAGAUUGUCAAUCAUCAGAGUCUUAAUUUCAACAACCCUUGUAAUGUACAAAUAGGUGAACACAACAUACAAAAUCAACUGACCAACCAACUAAAAGAAGAUGUCGACAAAAUUAAGAAUGAAAUGCAACAACUCAGGUUGGACAAUCUUCAACUACAAUCAGACAAACAGGGUCAAGCUGACAAGAUACAGAGCCAUGCUGACGUGAUACAGCAACUACAAUCAGAUAAACAACGUCAAGCUGACGAGAUACAACAGCUCCAAUCAGAUAAACAGCAUCAAGCUGACAAGAUACAGAGGCAAGCUGAAGACAUAAAGCUACUCAAGUCAAGGGUUGGAGUUGUGGAGAGUAAAAUGGCAGCCAAGACAACAGAUAAAAAUAUAAAUAAAGCAGAGGAUGAAAUGAUAACUCUUUUUGUCCCUGGUCUUGAGUAUGGUGAUAUCACUAUAGGUAUAAGCAGAUAUAAAUCCGUUAGUGAAGUAGAAGAGAUACUACUGGAGGAGUAUAUACGGAUGUAUGGUGUAGAUGAUGUUAAAAUUACUACUAUCUACAGUUUAAAACAGAAGAAAGACAUCUACGAGUACGACAUUGACAACAAAGAUCUACCAUUAUUAGAUUACGGUGCGAAUAAUGGUGAUAUAGUUAACUGGUGGGUGUUAUCUGCUUGAUUGUACUGUGUUAUAAUGGUAUUAAAAUCAAGCAUACUUACUAUAAAACAAUAAAACAUUCAACUUGAACAUGAUGGUGUUACAGGCCUAGUGAUGGGUUAAGUAACAAAUUAAUUAUAUUGUAUGUGUUGUGUAUAUAAUUAUAAUAAACAUUUACCAUUAACAUAUUAUGGCGGUGUUACUGGCCUAGUGAUGGGUUAAGUAACAGAUUAAUUCUAUUGUAUGUGUUGUGUAUAUAAUUAAAAAGU
This is a long non-coding RNA of Patella vulgata (common limpet), 1084 nucleotides long. RefSeq lists it as uncharacterized. The record is from RefSeq and is a predicted model, not a curated record. The transcript has 3 exons. Lineage: Eukaryota; Metazoa; Mollusca; Gastropoda; Patellidae.